UAAUAUAUGAUUUAAUAUUUUUGGUUAUGUGAAAUAUAACAUUUUUUUGAUGUUUUGCAGAUAAUGUUAGUCAAGAACAACAAGUAGAUUUGCAUUCUCAAAGAAGUCACAUAAGUUGUAUUACUCAAAGAACUCCUUUAUGCGACAUAUCUAAUGUAUCCUCAAGAUCUCUAAAUCAAUUUGUAUCAAAACAAAUUGAACAACGAUGUGCAAGGCAAAAAAGAAAACUAAUAUUAUCGCAAAGACGUGAAAAAGUUUCAGCCAAUUUAGCGACGCAGCAAUCCGUAUUUAAUUCCAAUGUUUUUUGUCGUUCAUUGAACGGUAUAGAUGUGUACUAUGGAGGCUAUUAUUAUACAAAAUAUUAUCGUAUGUUAAAUAUAAACUUAUUUUAUCUUUUCGUAUUA
Beta vulgaris subsp. vulgaris (sugar beet) is the source of this 404-nucleotide long non-coding RNA. RefSeq lists it as uncharacterized. The record is from RefSeq and is a predicted model, not a curated record. The transcript is spliced from 2 exons. Lineage: Eukaryota; Viridiplantae; Streptophyta; Magnoliopsida; Caryophyllales; Amaranthaceae.